UUAUUGGAGAGUUUGAUCCUGGCUCAGGACGAACGCUGGCGGCGUGCCUAAUACAUGCAAGUCGAGCGGAUCUUCGGGAGCUUGCUCCCGAUGGUCAGCGGCGGACGGGUGAGUAACACGUGGGCAACCUGCCUGUAAGACUGGGAUAACUCCGGGAAACCGGGGCUAAUACCGGAUAAUUCAUUCCCUCACAUGAGGGAAUGCUGAAAGACGGCUUUUGCUGUCACUUACAGAUGGGCCCGCGGCGCAUUAGCUAGUUGGUGAGGUAACGGCUCACCAAGGCCACGAUGCGUAGCCGACCUGAGAGGGUGAUCGGCCACACUGGGACUGAGACACGGCCCAGACUCCUACGGGAGGCAGCAGUAGGGAAUCUUCCGCAAUGGACGAAAGUCUGACGGAGCAACGCCGCGUGAGCGAAGAAGGCCUUCGGGUCGUAAAGCUCUGUUGUCAGGGAAGAACAAGUACCGGAGUAACUGCCGGUACCUUGACGGUACCUGACCAGAAAGCCACGGCUAACUACGUGCCAGCAGCCGCGGUAAUACGUAGGUGGCAAGCGUUGUCCGGAAUUAUUGGGCGUAAAGCGCG
RNAcentral lists this non-coding RNA (585 nucleotides) under Mesobacillus campisalis. RNAcentral's name for it is "Bacillus campisalis Bacterial small subunit ribosomal RNA". It matches the Rfam family "Bacterial small subunit ribosomal RNA", at positions 1 to 569 of the family's 1533-position model. Lineage: Bacteria; Bacillati; Bacillota; Bacilli; Caryophanales; Bacillaceae. The record is from Rfam by way of RNAcentral.